GGGGUGUGGUUGUGCUUAGGGUCAGGACUGGGAGUUCUGUUCCUGAAGACAUUUACCCCUUAGGAUGGGAAUGCUGUGUAGUGCUGUUGUGGAACCACGCCUGUCUGAUCAUUACUGUGUUGGGCAGCUCCCUCCCCCUCUGCAUGCAGAGUGAGCCCUGAAAAGCAUGGACCAAAUGCUUCCAAACAGUGCCAGGCUCUCUCAGGACUGGUGUGGAGCAGAAUGUCACUGUGUGCUCAGGGCUUUGCUCACAAACAUGCUGAACUGUGUGCUGGGAAUGGAGGAUUCAUUCUCUGAUGGAUUGCUCACUCCCUGCAUGGAAAUAGAGAUGUGGAGGGUGCUGCCAGGACCCUCCAAAGGACCCUACAGAGGUUGCUACCUGCUUCUCACCUGUCUCUGGAGCUGCUGCAUAACUGAAAUCAUCGAGUUGUUCUUGCAAACUGUUCCCCCAUUUCACUUUAAUACUUCAAAGAAUUACUGGACCUCGUAAUAUUGAUCUAUUCACUUCCUAUCCUUUUACAGCUGCCUAUAUAAUUUCUGAUCCUUAAAUCUGACAACUGUGUCCCCAAGAUGACUGUUCUUAAUGUUUAAAUGAUUGCUACCUUCCAUCAAAACAAUCUAGCAUUAAAACUGGAAAUACAGUGCAAAAGCAGUAAAAUAGUGUGUCUAUGGAUUAAUUUCUGACUACCCUCUCAGUAUAAAACCAAUGUCUGGAAUAUAACUUGAUUUUAAACUAAAAGUAGAUCAAAGCUCUCUAAGCAUGAACAAGAAAUCACCUGGAAAUAGUGCAGCUACAAGGAAAA
Passer domesticus (house sparrow) is the source of this 803-nucleotide long non-coding RNA. RefSeq lists it as uncharacterized. The transcript is spliced from 3 exons. NCBI's taxonomy places the organism in Eukaryota, Metazoa, Chordata, Aves, Passeriformes, Passeridae. The record is from RefSeq and is a predicted model, not a curated record.